AGUGAACGCUGGCGGUAGGCCUAACACAUGCAAGUCGAACGGCAGCACAGUAAGAGCUUGCUCUUACGGGUGGCGAGUGGCGGACGGGUGAGGAAUACAUCGGAAUCUACUUUUUCGUGGGGGAUAACGUAGGGAAACUUACGCUAAUACCGCAUACGACCUACGGGUGAAAGCAGGGGAUCUUCGGACCUUGCGCGAUUGAAUGAGCCGAUGUCGGAUUAGCUAGUUGGCGGGGUAAAGGCCCACCAAGGCGACGAUCCGUAGCUGGUCUGAGAGGAUGAUCAGCCACACUAGAACUGAGACACGGUCCAAUCUCCUACGGGAGGAAGCAGUGGGGAAUAUUGGACGAUGGGCGAAAGCCUGAUCCAGCCAUACCGCGUGGGUGAAGAAGGCCUUCGGGUUGUAAAGCCCUUUUGUUGGGAAAGAAAAGCAGCAGGUUAAUACCCCGCUGUUCUGACGGUACCCAAAGAAUAAGCACCGGCUAGCUUCGUG
Molecule: ribosomal RNA, 492 nt
Filed under: uncultured bacterium
Lineage: Bacteria
Description: partial 16S ribosomal RNA
Rfam family: Bacterial small subunit ribosomal RNA
Source: RNAcentral